AAAGCGCGCGUAGGUGGUUUGUUAAGUUGGAUGUGAAAGCCCCGGGCUCAACCUGGGAACUGCAUCCAAAACUGGCAAGCUAGAGUAUGGUAGAGGGUGGUGGAAUUUCCUGUGUAGCGGUGAAAUGCGUAGAUAUAGGAAGGAACACCAGUGGCGAAGGCGACCACCUGGACUGAUACUGACACUGAGGUGCGAAAGCGUGGGGAGCAAACAGGAUUAGAUACCCCGGU
RNAcentral lists this ribosomal RNA (230 nucleotides) under uncultured bacterium. RNAcentral's name for it is "partial 16S ribosomal RNA". It matches the Rfam family "Bacterial small subunit ribosomal RNA", at positions 562 to 791 of the family's 1533-position model. The record is from RNAcentral.